GUGCCAGCAGCCGCGGUAAGACGUAGGGGACGAGCGUUGUCCGGAUUUAUUGGGCGUAAAGCGCGCGCAGGCGGCCGUGUAAGUCGGGUGUGAAAUCCCGGAGCUCAACUCCGGAACUGCACUCGAAACUGCACGGCUCGAGGUAGGUAGGGGAGAUCGGAAUUCCUGGUGUAGCGGUGGAAUGCGCAGAUAUCAGGAGGAACACCGGUGGCGAAGGCGGAUCUCUGGGCCUUACCUGACGCUCAGGCGCGAAAGCUAGGGGAGCGAACAGGAUUAGAUACCCCAGUAGUCC
This 292-nucleotide ribosomal RNA is filed under the name uncultured bacterium. RNAcentral describes it as "partial 16S ribosomal RNA". It matches the Rfam family "Bacterial small subunit ribosomal RNA", at positions 505 to 796 of the family's 1533-position model. The record is from RNAcentral.